ACUCGUGAACAGGGGUGCAUGCAUGCUGAGAAAAACCCUUAUCACCUGAUCUAGGUAAAGCUAGCGUAGGGAGUUCAGUUUUUUAAUUC
Molecule: regulatory RNA element, 89 nt
Organism: Solobacterium moorei F0204
Lineage: Bacteria; Bacillati; Bacillota; Erysipelotrichia; Erysipelotrichales; Erysipelotrichaceae
Rfam family: TPP riboswitch aptamer (THI element)
About the family: Vitamin B(1) in its active form thiamin pyrophosphate (TPP) is an essential coenzyme that is synthesised by coupling of pyrimidine and thiazole moieties in bacteria. The previously detected thiamin-regulatory element, thi box was extended, resulting in a new, highly conserved RNA secondary structure, the THI element, which is widely distributed in eubacteria and also occurs in some archaea. Analysis of operon structures identified a large number of new candidate thiamin-regulated genes, mostly transporters, in various prokaryotic organisms.
Source: Rfam